This 305-nucleotide ribosomal RNA is filed under the name uncultured bacterium. RNAcentral's name for it is "bacterial SSU rRNA". It matches the Rfam family "Bacterial small subunit ribosomal RNA", at positions 334 to 656 of the family's 1533-position model. The record is from RNAcentral.
UAUGCCUACGGGAGGCAGCAGUGGGGAAUAUUGCACAAUGGGGGAAACCCUGAUGCAGCAACGCCGCGUGAGUGAAGAAGUCAUUCGUGAUGUAAAGCUCUAUCAGCAGGGAAGAAAAUGACGGUACCUGAGUAAGAAGCCCCGGCUAACUACGUGCCAGCAGCCGCGGUAAUACGUAGGGGGCAAGCGUUAUCCGGAUUCACUGGGUGUAAAGGGAGCGUAGACGGCGACGCAAGUCUGGAGUGAAAGCCCGGGGCCCAACCCCGGGACUGCUCUGGAAACUGCGUCGCUGGAGUACGGGCGGG